AGCAGCCGCGGUAAUUCCAGCUCCAAUAGCGUAUAUUAAAGUUGUUGCAGUUAAAAAGCUCGUAGUUGAAUUUCGGGAUCAAUGUUUCGGUCAUGCCCUUGGUAUGUACUGAUAUUAUUGGUUUCUCACCUUCUAAAGAACCGUAAUGCCAUUAAUUUGGUGUCACGGGGAAUUAGGACUGUUACCUUGAAAAAAUUAGAGUGUUUAAAGCAGGCUCACGCUUGAAUACAUUAGCAUGGAAUAAUGAAAUAGGACAUCCGAUUCUAUUUUGUUGGUUUCUAAGAUCGAUGUAAUGAUUAAUAGGGAUAGUUGGGGGCAUUAGUAUUCAAUUGUCAGAGGUGAAAUUCUUGGAUUUAUUGAAGACUAACUACUGCGAAAGCAUUUGCCAAGGAUGUUUUCAUUAAUCAAGAACGAAAGUUAGGGGAUCGAAGACGAUCAGAUACCGUCGUAGUCUUAACCAUAAACUAUGCCGACUAGGGAUCGGAUGAUGUUAAUUUUUUAAUGACUCA
Molecule: ribosomal RNA, 509 nt
Filed under: uncultured glomeraceous AM fungus
Lineage: Eukaryota; Fungi; Glomeromycota; Glomeromycetes; Glomerales; Glomeraceae
Description: SSU rRNA
Rfam family: Eukaryotic small subunit ribosomal RNA
Source: RNAcentral